This 452-nucleotide ribosomal RNA is filed under the name uncultured bacterium. Its description in RNAcentral is "bacterial SSU rRNA". It matches the Rfam family "Bacterial small subunit ribosomal RNA", at positions 8 to 507 of the family's 1533-position model. The record is from RNAcentral.
AGAGUUUGAUCAUGGCUCAGAAUGAACGCUGGCGGCAGGCCUAACACAUGCAAGUCGAACGGGUCCUUCGGGACUAGUGGCGGACGGGUGAGUAACGCGUGGGAACAUACCCUUUGGUACGGAAUAGCCUCGGGAAACUGGGAGUAAUGCCGUAUGUGGUCGAGAGACGAAAGAUUUAUCGCCAAAGGAUUGGCCCGCGUUGGAUUAGGUAGUUGGUGGGGUGAUGGCCUACCAAGCCGACGAUCCAUAGCUGGUUUGAGAGGAUGAUCAGCCACACUGGGACUGAGACACGGCCCAGACUCCUACGGGAGGCAGCAGUGGGGAAUCUUAGACAAUGGGGAAACCCUGAUCUAGCCAUGCCGCGUGAUCGAUGAAGGCCUUAGGGUUGUAAAGAUCUUUCAGGUGGGAAGAUAAUGACUGUACCACCAGAAGAAGCCCCGGCUAACUCCGUG